UACGAAGGGGGCUAGCGUUGUUCGGAAUCACUGGGCGUAAAGCGCACGUAGGCGGCUUUUUAAGUCAGAGGUGAAAUCCUGGAGCUCAACUCCAGAACUGCCUUUGAUACUGGAGAGCUUGAGUCCGGGAGAGGUGAGUGGAACUGCGGGUGUAGAGGUGAAAUUCGUAGAUAUUCGCAAGAACACCAGUGGCGAAGGCGGCUCACUGGCCCGGUACUGACGCUGAGGUGCGAAAGCGUGGGGAGCGAACAGG
RNAcentral lists this ribosomal RNA (253 nucleotides) under uncultured bacterium. RNAcentral describes it as "partial 16S ribosomal RNA". It matches the Rfam family "Bacterial small subunit ribosomal RNA", at positions 524 to 776 of the family's 1533-position model. The record is from RNAcentral.